CAAGUGUGUAAAUAUAUCCAACAACUUGCAAAUAGAAAAAGAAAGAAGAAGUGGCUAUUUUUCUCAGAAAUUCUAGGAAGUUCUAUGCUAGUGUGGGUACAAGCCAUGGGCGUAGGUAGCUAAGGGGAGCAGGAGUGUGCACGGCCCACCCAAAACAAAAGAUCUAAUAUUAUCGUCUACCAUAUCGGCAUAUCGUUUCAGAGAAAGACGACUCGUUUGAAUGAACUAACAUCCCCCUUGAUUUUAUGUUAUUCCAUAUACUUAAGGCAAGAAAAUCAGUGCAGGUGUAAGCUAACUAGCUGCCGCUGGAUAUUUUACCUGCUGAUGUAAAUCGUAGUGGGGUGGUGCCUAAAUUGUGAUGUGGCACAGUGGCAAGUAGCAGUGGUUGGUAGGUUAGUUGUGUAGUUGAUAAAACUUGAGAUAAACGUACACGACACUCGGUAAAUUCUUAAUAAAAGUGAGUAUAUAACGCUUUUUAUUUAGCCACCGAUUUGUAUUUUAA
This is a long non-coding RNA of Anoplophora glabripennis (Asian longhorned beetle), 502 nucleotides long. RefSeq lists it as uncharacterized. The transcript is spliced from 4 exons. The record is from RefSeq and is a predicted model, not a curated record. NCBI's taxonomy places the organism in Eukaryota, Metazoa, Arthropoda, Insecta, Coleoptera, Cerambycidae.